CCCUUAGAUGUUCUGGGCCGCACGCGCGCUACACUGACGAAUGCAACGAGCUUAUAACCUUGGCCGAAAGGUCUGGGUAAUCUCCAAAUUUCGUCGUGAUGGGGAUAGAUUAUUGCAAUUAUUAAUCUUCAACGAGGAAUGCCUAGUAGGCGCAAGUCAUCAGCUUGCGUUGAUUACGUCCCUGCCCUUUGUACACACCGCCCGUCGCUCCUACCGAUUGAAUGGUCCGGUGAAGCGUUCGGACCGUGGCCUUUGGACGGUUCGCCGUCUGUUGGCUGCGGGAAGUUCGUUAAACCUUAUCAUUUAGAGGAAGGAGAANUCGUAACA
Molecule: ribosomal RNA, 327 nt
Filed under: uncultured eukaryote
Lineage: Eukaryota
Description: partial 18S ribosomal RNA
Rfam family: Eukaryotic small subunit ribosomal RNA
Source: RNAcentral